This 186-nucleotide non-coding RNA is filed under the name Bacteroidota bacterium. Lineage: Bacteria; Pseudomonadati; Bacteroidota. The record is from RNAcentral.
UAUAAAAUAAGUUAUCUUUGUGGCGUUCCAGCUUCAGGGAAUCCCGUGUAAUCCGGGAACAGUACCCGCUGCUGUAAAGCUCUCCCCAUCUUUUUUGGGGUUUUCUUCAGUCGGCCACUGCCAUUUGGUGGGAAGGCGAAGAUGCAAAAGCUGAGUCAGAAGACCUGCAGGAACAAAACAUAUUUA